RNAcentral lists this ribosomal RNA (468 nucleotides) under Triticum aestivum (bread wheat). Its description in RNAcentral is "partial small subunit ribosomal RNA". Lineage: Eukaryota; Viridiplantae; Streptophyta; Magnoliopsida; Poales; Poaceae. The record is from RNAcentral.
AUGUCUUCUUCAAGCUCCCGCGCCACCUCGCGGAUGCAAAGCCUAGCGCGCAUGCAGAUGUCGAUCUUUGUUAGUCCGCGGUGCCGGGCGGGCAUUGAUCGGAGGGUUUCUCACACACCGAAGAACCAUAAUCGUCUGUUCUACGUGUGCAGUGAGAAUGGGGUGAAAUGUUGGUUCCUUUGGGUCGAUGCUCUGGCCAAGACUCUGAUGAAUGAACUGCAAGAAUAGCAUGAAGAAUGGUUGCCCAUGCUGCCAUGAACGGCAGUGGCCGCAACACAAGCUCCGGAAGAACAGACGGGGGGCGAAGCAUGCAAUGAUAGAGAGCUAGCUGUUGAGCUUAGGAUGUUGAAGAAGAUGGUUAGGAAGCUUGAAGAUCAAGCACAAAUACCCAUUUGCAAUUACUUUUGGGCAUUCGUUGGUAUGGUAAUCACACUGGGUGUAAUGUUGAAAUUGUAUGGAAAGGCAUGA